GCCGGGUUAGCUCAGUCGGUAGAGCGCUCCACCUGUAAUGGAGAGGUCCCGGGUUCGAUACCCGGACUUGGCG
RNAcentral lists this transfer RNA (73 nucleotides) under Ixodes scapularis (black-legged tick). RNAcentral describes it as "tRNA-Thr". It matches the Rfam family "tRNA". Rfam says of the family: Transfer RNA (tRNA) molecules are approximately 80 nucleotides in length. The record is from RNAcentral. Lineage: Eukaryota; Metazoa; Arthropoda; Arachnida; Ixodida; Ixodidae.